This 253-nucleotide ribosomal RNA is filed under the name uncultured bacterium. Its description in RNAcentral is "partial 16S ribosomal RNA". It matches the Rfam family "Bacterial small subunit ribosomal RNA", at positions 524 to 776 of the family's 1533-position model. The record is from RNAcentral.
UACGUAGGGUGCGAGCGUUAAUCGGAAUUACUGGGCGUAAAGCGUGCGCAGGCGGCUUUGCAAGACAGAUGUGAAAUCCCCGGGCUUAACCUGGGAACUGCAUUUGUGACUGCAUGGCUGGAGUGCGGCAGAGGGGGAUGGAAUUCCGCGUGUAGCAGUGAAAUGCGCAGAUAUCGGGAGGAACACCGGUGGCGAAGGCGGUUCUCUGGGCCUUACCUGACGCUGAGGAGCGAAAGCGUGGGGAGCGAACAGG